RNAcentral lists this ribosomal RNA (253 nucleotides) under uncultured bacterium. RNAcentral's name for it is "partial 16S ribosomal RNA". It matches the Rfam family "Bacterial small subunit ribosomal RNA", at positions 524 to 776 of the family's 1533-position model. The record is from RNAcentral.
UACGUGAGGGGCGAACGUUGUUCGGUGUCACUGGGCUUAAAGGGUGCGUAGGUGGUUGUGUAAGUAACGUGUGAAAUCCCCCGGCUUACCCGAGGAAUUGCGCGUUAUACUGCACGGCUUGAGGGACAGAGGGGAAAGAGGAACUCCAGGUGUAGCGGUGAAAUGCGCAGAUAUCUGGGGGAAGGCCGGCGGCGAAGGCGUCUUUCUGGCUGUUACCUGACACUGAGGCACGAAAGCGUGGGGAGCAAACAGG